Molecule: ribosomal RNA, 567 nt
Filed under: uncultured eukaryote
Lineage: Eukaryota
Description: SSU rRNA
Rfam family: Eukaryotic small subunit ribosomal RNA
Source: RNAcentral
CUGGUUGAUCCUGCCAGUAGUCAUAUGCUUGUCUCAAAGAUUAAGCCAUGCAUGUCUAAGCACAAGCCGAUUAAUGGUGAAGCCGCGAAUGGCUCAUUACAACAGCCAUAGUUUCUCAGAUCUUACUUUUCUACUUGGAUAACUGUGGUAAUUCUAGAGCUAAUACACGCAAAAAAGCUCAGACCUUACGGAAUGAGCGCAUUUAUUAGAACAAAAACCAAUCGGGCUUCGGUCCGUCAUUUGGUGAAUCUGAAUAACUUUGCUGAUCGCACGGUCUUCGUACCGGCGACAUAUCUUUCAAAUGUCUGCCUUAUCAACUUUCGAUGGUAGUUUAUGCGCCUACCAUGGUUGUAACGGGUAACGGAGAAUAAGGGUUCGACUCCGGAGAGGGAGCCUGAGAAACGGCUACCACAUCCAAGGAAGGCAGCAGGCACGCAAAUUACCCACUCCCGGCACGGGGAGGUAGUGACGAAAAAUAAUGAGACGGCUCGCUAUGCGGUCCGUCAUCGGAAUGGGUACAAUUUAAAUCCUUUAACGAGGAUCUAUUGGAGGAAAAGUCUGGUGCCA